Molecule: long non-coding RNA, 444 nt
Filed under: Zea mays
Lineage: Eukaryota; Viridiplantae; Streptophyta; Magnoliopsida; Poales; Poaceae
Description: long non-coding RNA NONZMAT000912
Source: RNAcentral
AUGGGAGGAUUGAAUCCAUAUCUUCCUAUAUGCGGCUGUAGCUUCCUAUAUGUGGCUGUAGCUAGAAAGGCAAGGAUGCCUGCACAUGUAUGGUAGGGUAUCCUGCGCCUAUAUGGCAGGAGACACAAGUCUGAUAUAUCAGCUAACAGACGGAUAUCUUGUUCUUGUUCCAAUCCCAACCAAAGCCACUUGUAAUGCACAAUUGUUUGAAAAAAAGAAACGUGGAGAAACUCAAUAAUCUGAAAAACUACAAGCAAAGUUACAAUAAUCUGAAUUUUCAGAAUGCUGUGCGGAUUUAGUACACGAUAAAGUUACAAUAAUCGUGUGUUAGAUUUAACGGCCGCGUGAUGAACAAAUAUAAUGAUGAUAUUAGUUAGCGAUCGAGCGAGCGAGUGGUUUGCACUGUCUUGUCUAGCUAUAUAUAUGUGUGUGUCCAUGAAUAGG